GGAGGAAAGCAGGGGAUCGAAAGACCUCGCGUUAUUGGAGCGGCCGAUGCCGGAUUAGCUAGUUGGUGAGGUAAAGGCUCACCAAGGCGACGAUCCGUAGCUGGUCUGAGAGGACGACCAGCCACACUGGGACUGAGACACGGCCCAGACUCCUACGGGAGGCAGCAGUGGGGAAUUUUGGACAAUGGGGGCAACCCUGAUCCAGCCAUGCCGCGUGAGUGAAGAAGGCCUUCGGGUUGUAAAGCUCUUUCGCAAGGAAAGAAGACUUAUCUACUAAUACUAGGUGAGGAUGACGGUACCUUGAUAAGAAGCACCGGCUAACUACGUGCCAGCAGCCGCGGUAAUACGUAGGGUGCGAGCGUUAAUCGGAAUUACUGGGCGUAAAGCGUGCGCAGGCGGUUUCGUAAGCCAGAUGUGAAAUCCCCGGGCUCAACCUGGGAACUGCGUUUGAAACUACAAAGCUAG
RNAcentral lists this ribosomal RNA (465 nucleotides) under uncultured ammonia-oxidizing beta proteobacterium. Its description in RNAcentral is "bacterial SSU rRNA". It matches the Rfam family "Bacterial small subunit ribosomal RNA", at positions 198 to 644 of the family's 1533-position model. The record is from RNAcentral. Lineage: Bacteria; Pseudomonadati; Pseudomonadota; Betaproteobacteria.